UACAGAGGGGGCAAGCGUUGUUCGGAAUUACUGGGCGUAAAGGGCGCGUAGGCGGCCGCCUAAGUCAGACGUGAAAUCCCUCGGCUCAACCGGGGAACUGCGUCUGAUACUGGGUGGCUUGAAUCCGGGAGAGGGAUGCGGAAUUCCAGGUGUAGCGGUGAAAUGCGUAGAUAUCAGGAGGAACACCAGUGGCGAAGGCGACACGCUGGGCCAUACCUGACGCUAAAGCGCGACAGCAUGGGGAGCAAACGGG
This 253-nucleotide ribosomal RNA is filed under the name uncultured bacterium. Its description in RNAcentral is "partial 16S ribosomal RNA". It matches the Rfam family "Bacterial small subunit ribosomal RNA", at positions 524 to 776 of the family's 1533-position model. The record is from RNAcentral.